Molecule: ribosomal RNA, 500 nt
Filed under: uncultured Glomeromycotina
Lineage: Eukaryota; Fungi; Glomeromycota
Description: partial small subunit ribosomal RNA
Rfam family: Eukaryotic small subunit ribosomal RNA
Source: RNAcentral
CCAAUAGCGUAUAUUAAAGUUGUUGCAGUUAAAAAGCUCGUAGUUGAAUUUCGGGAUCAAUAUGUCGGUCGUGCCUUCGGUACGUACUGGUAUCAUUGGUCUCUCCUUUCUGACGAACCAUGAUGUCAUAAAUUUGGUGUUAUGGGGAGUUAGGACUGUUACUUUGAAAAAAUUAGAGUGUUUAAAGCAGGCUUUAGCUUGAAUACAUUAGCAUGGAAUAAUGAAAUAGGACGUUCGAACCUAUUUUGUUGGUUUCUAGGAUCAACGUAAUGAUUAAUAGGGAUAGUUGGGGGCAUUAGUAUUCAAUUGUCAGAGGUGAAAUUCUUGGAUUUAUUGAAGACUAACUACUGCGAAAGCAUUUGCCAAGGAUGUUUUCAUUAAUCAAGAACGAAAGUUAGGGGAUCGAAGACGAUCAGAUACCGUCGUAGUCUUAACCAUAAACUAUGCCGACUAGGGAUCGGAUGAUGUUAAUUUUUUAAUGACUCAUUCGGCGCCUUACG